RNAcentral lists this ribosomal RNA (510 nucleotides) under uncultured bacterium. RNAcentral describes it as "bacterial SSU rRNA". It matches the Rfam family "Bacterial small subunit ribosomal RNA", at positions 34 to 518 of the family's 1533-position model. The record is from RNAcentral.
CGCUGGCGGCGUGCCUAAUACAUGCAAGUCGAACGGUCUUUCUAUGGAAGCUUGCUUCCACUGAGAAGAUAGUGGCGAACGGGUGAGUAACACGUGGGUAACCUGCCCAUAAGAGGGGGAUAACAUCCGGAAACGGGUGCUAAUACCGCAUAGUUUUCUUGAUCGCAUGAUUGAGAAAGGAAGACGGCCUUUGUGCUGUCGCUUAUGGAUGGACCCGCGGCGUAUUAGUUAGUUGGUGAGGUAACGGCUCACCAAGACGAUGAUACGUAGCCGACCUGAGAGGGUGAUCGGCCACAUUGGGACUGAGACACGGCCCAAACUCCUACGGGAGGCAGCAGUAGGGAAUCUUCCGCAAUGGACGAAAGUCUGACGGAGCAACGCCGCGUGAGUGAAGAAAGGUUUUCGGAUCGUAAAACUCUGUUGUCAGAGAAGAACAAGUUGGAGAGUAACUGCUCCAGCCUUGACGGUAUCUGACCAGAAAGCCACGGCUAACUACGUGCCAGCAGCCGC